This 1199-nucleotide ribosomal RNA is filed under the name Enterobacter asburiae. RNAcentral describes it as "bacterial SSU rRNA". It matches the Rfam family "Bacterial small subunit ribosomal RNA", at positions 34 to 1232 of the family's 1533-position model. The record is from RNAcentral. Lineage: Bacteria; Pseudomonadati; Pseudomonadota; Gammaproteobacteria; Enterobacterales; Enterobacteriaceae.
CGGAUAGCGGCAGCUACCAUGCAGUCGAGCGGUAGCACAGAGAGCUUGCUCUCGGGUGACGAGCGGCGGACGGGUGAGUAAUGUCUGGGAAACUGCCUGAUGGAGGGGGAUAACUACUGGAAACGGUAGCUAAUACCGCAUAACGUCGCAAGACCAAAGAGGGGGACCUUCGGGCCUCUUGCCAUCAGAUGUGCCCAGAUGGGAUUAGCUAGUAGGUGGGGUAACGGCUCACCUAGGCGACGAUCCCUAGCUGGUCUGAGAGGAUGACCAGCCACACUGGAACUGAGACACGGUCCAGACUCCUACGGGAGGCAGCAGUGGGGAAUAUUGCACAAUGGGCGCAAGCCUGAUGCAGCCAUGCCGCGUGUAUGAAGAAGGCCUUCGGGUUGUAAAGUACUUUCAGCGGGGAGGAAGGUGUUGAGGUUAAUAACCUCAGCAAUUGACGUUACCCGCAGAAGAAGCACCGGCUAACUCCGUGCCAGCAGCCGCGGUAAUACGGAGGGUGCAAGCGUUAAUCGGAAUUACUGGGCGUAAAGCGCACGCAGGCGGUCUGUCAAGUCGGAUGUGAAAUCCCCGGGCUCAACCUGGGAACUGCAUUCGAAACUGGCAGGCUAGAGUCUUGUAGAGGGGGGUAGAAUUCCAGGUGUAGCGGUGAAAUGCGUAGAGAUCUGGAGGAAUACCGGUGGCGAAGGCGGCCCCCUGGACAAAGACUGACGCUCAGGUGCGAAAGCGUGGGGAGCAAACAGGAUUAGAUACCCUGGUAGUCCACGCCGUAACGAUGUCGAUUUGGAGGUUGUUCCCUUGAGGAGUGGCUUCCGGAGCUAACGCGUUAAAUCGACCGCCUGGGGAGUACGGCCGCAAGGUUAAAACUCAAAUGAAUUGACGGGGGCCCGCACAAGCGGUGGAGCAUGUGGUUUAAUUCGAUGCAACGCGAAGAACCUUACCUACUCUUGACAUCCAGAGAACUUAGCAGAGAUGCUUUGGUGCCUUCGGGAACUCUGAGACAGGUGCUGCAUGGCUGUCGUCAGCUCGUGUUGUGAAAUGUUGGGUUAAGUCCCGCAACGAGCGCAACCCUUAUCCUUUGUGCCAGCGGUCCGGCCGGGAACUCAAAGGAUACUGCAGUGAUACCUGGAGAAGGUGGGGAUGACGUCAAGUCCAUUCAUGGCCUUACGAGUAGGCUACACACACGUGCCUCUCAG